AAUCCAUAGGUUAAUGAGGCGAACCGGGGGAACUGAAACAUCUAAGUACCCCGAGGAAAAGAAAUCAACCGAGAUUCCCCCAGUAGCGGCGAGCGAACGGGGAGGAGCCCAGAGCCUGAAUCAGCAUGUGUGUUAGUGGAAGCGUCUGGAAAGGCGCGCGAUACAGGGUGACAGCCCCGUACACAAAAGCGCAUGUGUUGUGAGCUCGAUGAGUAGGGCGGGACACGUGGUAUCCUGUCUGAAUAUGGGGGGACCAUCCUCCAAGGCUAAAUACUCCUGACUGACCGAUAGUGAACCAGUACCGUGAGGGAAAGGCGAAAAGAACCCCGGCGAGGGGAGUGAAAAAGAACCUGAAACCGUGUACGUACAAGCAGUGGGAGCACCCUUUUGGGUGUGACUGCGUACCUUUUGUAUAAUGGGUCAGCGACUUAUAUUCUGUAGCAAGGUUAACCGAAUAGGGGAGCCGGAGGGAAACCGAGUCUUAAUUGGGCGUUAAGUUGCAGGGUAUAGACCCGAAACCCGGUGAUCUAGCCAUGGGCAGGUUGAAGGUUGGGUAACACUAACUGGAGGACCGAACCGACUAAUGUUGAAAAAUUAGCGGAUGACCUGUGGCUGGGGGUGAAAGGCCAAUCAAACCGGGAGAUAGCUGGUUCUCCCCGAAAGCUAUUUAGGUAGCGCCUCGUGAACUCAUCUCCGGGGGUAGAGCACUGUUUCGGCUAGGGGGCCAUCCCGGCUUACCAACCCGAUGCAAACUGCGAAUACCGGAGAAUGUUAUCACGGGAGACACACGGCGGGUGCUAACGUCCGUCGUGAAGAGGGAAACAACCCAGACCGCCAGCUAAGGUCCCAAAGUCAUGGUUAAGUGGGAAACGAUGUGGGAAGGCCCAGACAGCCAGGAUGUUGGCUUAGAAGCAGCCAUCAUUUAAAGAAAGCGUAAUAGCUCACUGGUCGAGUCGGCCUGCGCGGAAGAUGUAACGGGGCUAAACCAUGCACCGAAGCUGCGGCAGCGACGCUCAGGCGUUGUUGGGUAGGGGAGCGUUCUGUAAGCCUGUGAAGGUGGCCUGUGAGGGUUGCUGGAGGUAUCAGAAGUGCGAAUGCUGACAUAAGUAACGAUAAAGCGGGUGAAAAGCCCGCUCGCCGGAAGACCAAGGGUUCCUGUCCAACGUUAAUCGGGGCAGGGUGAGUCGACCCCUAAGGCGAGGCCGAAAGGCGUAGUCGAUGGGAAACGGGUUAAUAUUCCCGUACUUGGUGUUACUGCGAAGGGGGGACGGAGAAGGCUAUGUUGGCCGGGCGACGGUUGUCCCGGUUUAAGCGUGUAGGUGUGUGUUCCAGGUAAAUCCGGUUCACUUUAACACUGAGGCGUGACGACGAGGCACUACGGUGCUGAAGCAACAAAUGCCCUGCUUCCAGGAAAAGCCUCUAAGCAUCAGGUAACAUCAAAUCGUACCCCAAACCGACACAGGUGGUCAGGUAGAGAAUACCAAGGCGCUUGAGAGAACUCGGGUGAAGGAACUAGGCAAAAUGGUGCCGUAACUUCGGGAGAAGGCACGCUGACACGUAGGUGAAGUGAUUUACUCAUGGAGCUGAAGUCAGUCGAAGAUACCAGCUGGCUGCAACUGUUUAUUAAAAACACAGCACUGUGCAAACACGAAAGUGGACGUAUACGGUGUGACGCCUGCCCGGUGCCGGAAGGUUAAUUGAUGGGGUCAGCGCAAGCGAAGCUCCUGAUCGAAGCCCCGGUAAACGGCGGCCGUAACUAUAACGGUCCUAAGGUAGCGAAAUUCCUUGUCGGGUAAGUUCCGACCUGCACGAAUGGCGUAAUGAUGGCCAGGCUGUCUCCACCCGAGACUCAGUGAAAUUGAACUCGCUGUGAAGAUGCAGUGUACCCGCGGCAAGACGGAAAGACCCCGUGAACCUUUACUAUAGCUUGACACUGAACAUUGAGCCUUGAUGUGUAGGAUAGGUGGGAGGCUUUGAAGCGUGGACGCCAGUCUGCGUGGAGCCGACCUUGAAAUACCACCCUUUAAUGUUUGAUGUUCUAACGUGGACCCGUUACCCGGGUUGCGGACAGUGUCUGGUGGGUAGUUUGACUGGGGCGGUCUCCUCCUAAAGAGUAACGGAGGAGCACGAAGGUUGGCUAAUCCUGGUCGGACAUCAGGAGGUUAGUGCAAUGGCAUAAGCCAGCUUGACUGCGAGCGUGACGGCGCGAGCAGGUGCGAAAGCAGGUCAUAGUGAUCCGGUGGUUCUGAAUGGAAGGGCCAUCGCUCAACGGAUAAAAGGUACUCCGGGGAUAACAGGCUGAUACCGCCCAAGAGUUCAUAUCGACGGCGGUGUUUGGCACCUCGAUGUCGGCUCAUCACAUCCUGGGGCUGAAGUAGGUCCCAAGGGUAUGGCUGUUCGCCAUUUAAAGUGGUACGCGAGCUGGGUUUAGAACGUCGUGAGACAGUUCGGUCCCUAUCUGCCGUGGGCGCUGGAGAACUGAGGGGGGCUGCUCCUAGUACGAGAGGACCGGAGUGGACGCAUCACUGGUGUUCGGGUUGUCAUGCCAAUGGCACUGCCCGGUAGCUAAAUGCGGAAGAGAUAAGUGCUGAAAGCAUCUAAGCACGAAACUUGCCCCGA
Molecule: ribosomal RNA, 2619 nt
Filed under: Salmonella enterica subsp. enterica serovar Oslo
Lineage: Bacteria; Pseudomonadati; Pseudomonadota; Gammaproteobacteria; Enterobacterales; Enterobacteriaceae
Description: partial 23S ribosomal RNA
Rfam family: Bacterial large subunit ribosomal RNA
Source: RNAcentral